ACCCAUCUGACGAGUCCAGAAUCGGAUGAAACACGUGUCUUGGAU
This 45-nucleotide non-coding RNA is filed under the name Schistosoma mansoni. Lineage: Eukaryota; Metazoa; Platyhelminthes; Trematoda; Strigeidida; Schistosomatidae. The record is from RNAcentral.